GUCGCUCCCCGCCGGCUGCCGUUAGGGCUGGGAGCCGGCUGGGCGCGGGGGUAGUGAGGGUGCCUCUCGCCGUGGCUGCGCGGCGGCCUCGUCCGAGAGGCCGGCGCCGGGGCAGUGACCGGCCCGUGCCCAGCCGCCGCGCAGGGCGCCCGGGGCAGCUGGCCGAGCCCUCGAUGCCUCCCGUCUGACGGAGGCGCCCGGGAAGCGCCGCCCACCUCGGCCCCGCACCCUCGCCGGCCUGCCGGGUCUCCGCCAGCCCUAGCAGACAGAGAGGGGCGCCGGUCCCUAGUCCCCCAGACCUCCAUUCAAGGUCAAAACUUUGCCCAGCUCAGCCUUGCUCGACCCUGGGCAGGGAAGCGCGGACAUCGGCAGAGGGAGCCCGAGGCUCUCCGUGCCCUUCGCGCCGGUCAAGAACUGUGGAAUCUUUCAGAUGAUAUUCUGAUACUUCUGGACCAAGAUUGAAUUUGUUCUUCAUGAAAAAUGUCUGGGACCUUUUAUAUGGACGGGGAAUACCAACGUAGAGAUGGUCAAGAAAAUUUGCGCUCCGACCUAAACCAAGCACGUUGUAUGGUAGUUGGAGAGCUAAAUGUGCGGAUUGGCUGAGUUGGCCAGCUAGAGUUAUUCAAUUAAAAAAAAAUUAAAAACAUCUCUGGAAACAUUGCUCCCAUCAAAUAUUAAAAUGAUAAAAUGUUAAA
RNAcentral lists this long non-coding RNA (695 nucleotides) under Homo sapiens (human). RNAcentral's name for it is "HSALNT0230438". The record is from RNAcentral. Lineage: Eukaryota; Metazoa; Chordata; Mammalia; Primates; Hominidae.